UGGCUCCCCAAACUCCUUGCUCCGAUCACACCACGCUAGUUCCUUCUCCGCAAUGAGUUUGGAUCUGAGUACCUCCCCACCGAUUUCUAGAACGCAAACAGAAUAUUUGAACUAUUCUGAUUGAUCCAUGAAAUCAAUGGGUUCGGCAAGAGCCAGAACAUACGUGGGUAAAGCAGCGUUUUGAAAAUUCAACAUUUUGGCUUUGAUACUCUGAUUGGUUAGAGAUGAUCCAAUCACUGAUGACUUUGUUUUGUACAACACCCCUCAUUUUGAUGUCACCACAAACGACUUUGCCGAAUGAAGUGUGUAGCAAACAGAGCAGAGGAAGAAUUCAGUUUGAGUUGUCAGGCCAUGGUUUUGAAGGUGAAUUCCUAGGAUUUUACAUGGUCUGUAUCCAGACCGCUCAUGUCCAAUCACAGGCUGAUCUUCUCUUCCUGACACAUGAGUCCAGCAUCAUCCCCACCACCCACCCACAUCUGACUGAGACCAGGGUUGUGAUUACGGGCACGAAAUGAAGGAAAAUGGUCCGAAACGGAGUGAUGCGGCAAGGCUGUUACGACUUCUGCCGAAGUCGGUCCCUCUCCUUGUCCGGGCGGCGCUCGGCGGUCAACGUCGACGGUCUUCUAGCCAUCGCCGAUCCACUUUUCAGUUUCCAUUGGUUUUGUCUUUGUUUCCCACACACCUGGUUUUCAAUUCCCAAUUACUGGUCAUGUAUUUCACCCUCUGUUUCCCCCAUGUCUUUGUGUGUGAUUGUUUAUGGUUCAGGUCGGUACGUUUCCGGUUGGUUUUGUCCGGGUGCUGUUUUCACCCGUGUUUUGUGGCAACCGUUAUUGUUCGCACAUUGGUACUGUUACUUGUGCUAUUUCUUAAGUAAAGUGCGUUGUUCACUCAUCUCUGUUCUCCUGCGCCUGACUUCAUGCACCAGCUACACCCACCGCCUGACACAGGCCAGUAAUAUGGAGUGAAUGCAAUAUUGUUGAUCCCUUUGUAUUUUCAAGUAUUGUGGUGGCAGCAUCAUGUUAUGGGUAUGCUUGUCACCGGCAGAGACUGGGGAGUUUGUUAGAAUCAAAAUAAAUAUAAAAGGAGCAAAACCCAGAUAAAAUGUAUUCUGAAA
Oncorhynchus tshawytscha (Chinook salmon) is the source of this 1114-nucleotide long non-coding RNA. The record is from Ensembl. NCBI's taxonomy places the organism in Eukaryota, Metazoa, Chordata, Actinopteri, Salmoniformes, Salmonidae.